GAUUCUUAUUGCUUUCUUUGAUUAUGUUUCUAAUCUUUUUAUCAUCUCUUUAGGAUUUAUUAAUAUCUGAUCAAUCCUCGUUGAUCUUAUAAUGAUCAACCCUAGUUGUUGAUAUUCUAUUGCGUCGAUUUUGCGAUUGAUCAAUCCAUUGAAGUACGUUGUUUGUUAUCUACGCAUAUAUAUAUCUUAUUCCUUCUUGUUGAUCAACAAGCAGAAGUCCGUGUAUAUCUUCUAAUGAAAGAAGGAAUGAUCUUGUAGAUGUCUGUGUUAUUUUCAUGUAAGUUUUGUUGCUUUUCUUUUAUAUGACUAUCUUUUAAAUCUCCUUAUCUAACCGAUGAUCUUCUUGUUAUGGUUUGGCUUGUCGUGUUCUUAUCCGGGAGUGACGUUGAUCCUUUAGCGCAUAUUUGGGAUGGAUUAAUGUUGAGUUUUCAGGCCUGUCCAUCGAGGUAUUACGUAUUAAUAUAGAGGCGCAGCCACGCAGGGACAAAAACACAUCUGAUGAUCAAUUCUCGUUGGUCUUAUUAUCAACUCUCGUUGAUCUUAUUACCUCUUGAUAAUGCUCCAAUCAACUCUUGUUGAUCUCAUAUAUCAUCUCUUGAUGAUGCUCCAAUCAACUCUAGUUGAUCUGAUCAUAUCAUCUCUUGAUGAUCCUCCAAUCAACCCUCGUUGAUCUUGUUAUCAUCUCUUGAUAAUGCUCCUAUCAACCAUCGUUGAUCUUGUUAUCAACUCUCGUUGAUCUUGUUAUCAUCUCUUAAUAAUGCUCCAGUCAACCAUCGUUGAUCUUGUUAUCAUCUAUUGAUAAUGCUCCUAUCAACUCUCGUUGAUCUUGUUAUCAUCUAUUGAUAAUGCUUUAUCAACUCUCGUUGAUCUUGUUAUCAUCUCUUGAUAAUGCUCCAGUCAACCAUCGUUGAUCUUGUUAUCAUCUAUUGAUAAUGCUCCUAUCAACCAUCGUUGAUCUUAUAUAUCAUCUCCCGAUGAUUCCUCUCAUCAAGUCUCGUUGAGAAAAAAAGGAAUAAGACUUAACACUUGCAGAGGUUUUUGUUGAUCUUUCCAACUGACCACAGAUGUAAAAGAGAGAGUAAGGAAGGGAGUUAUCUGACUUUUGCCAUGACAGGUGGCUUGCUUGGUAGGUCUUUAUUUUUGAACAAACCUUCGGGAGAGAAGUGUGAUGGGAAGGAUUGCAAGAGUUAGUUAGGCCUUUUAUGUUGCAAGGGCAGAGCAACAAAGUUCGUGAAAGUGGGAAAUAUAGAUUUUUUUUUUUUUUGUAUCUUGUAUUCUUGUGGGUGAUGAGUAGAUUGAAACUACUUGUGCAGGAUCAUGAUGGUUGUCCGUUUAAUCUAGAAACGUAACUCUUAUUGGCUACAAACAUCUAGAACUUGUAGACUAAUCACAUCA
Molecule: non-coding RNA, 1395 nt
Organism: Camelina sativa (false flax)
Lineage: Eukaryota; Viridiplantae; Streptophyta; Magnoliopsida; Brassicales; Brassicaceae
Source: RefSeq, a predicted model, not a curated record